GAUGAACGCUGGCGGCGUGCCUAAUACAUGCCAGUCGAGCGAACAGAUGAGGAGCUUGCUCCUCUGACGUUAGCGGCGGACGGGUGAGUAACACGUGGAUAACCUACCUAUAAGACUGGGAUAACUUCGGGAAACCGGAGCUAAUACCGGAUAAUAUAUUGAACCGCAUGGUUCAAUAGUGAAAGACGGUUUUGCUGUCACUUAUAGAUGGAUCCGCGCCGCAUUAGCUAGUUGGUAAGGUAACGGCUUACCAAGGCAACGAUGCGUAGCCGACCUGAGAGGGUGAUCCGGCACACUGGAACUGAGACACGGUCCAGACUCCUACGGGAGGCAGCAGUAGGGAAUCUUCCGCAAUGGGCGAAAGCCUGACGGAGCAACGCCGCGUGAGUGAUGAAGGUCUUCGGAUCGUAAAACUCUGUUAUUAGGGAAGAACAAAUGUGUAAGUAACUAUGCACGUCUUGACGGUACCUAAUCAGAAAGCCACGGCUAACUACGUG
This 497-nucleotide ribosomal RNA is filed under the name uncultured bacterium. RNAcentral's name for it is "partial 16S ribosomal RNA". It matches the Rfam family "Bacterial small subunit ribosomal RNA", at positions 28 to 507 of the family's 1533-position model. The record is from RNAcentral.